CUUCGGGCGCGGCGCCGGCCUAAGUUCCUUGGAACAGGAUGUCACAGAGGGUGAGAAUCCCGUCUGCGGCCGGCCGCCAAGCCCGUGUGAAGCCCCUUCGACGAGUCGCGUUGUUUGGGAAUGCAGCGCAAAAUGGGUGGUAAAUUUCAUCUAAAGCUAAAUACCGGCCCGAGACCGAUAGUGCACAAGUAGCGUGAGCGAAAGACGAAAAGCACUUUGGAAAGAGGGUGAAACAGCGCGUGAAAUUGUUGAAAGGGAAGCGCUGGCCGCCAGACGGGGCCGCGCGCUCACCGCCGCGGGUUCAACCGCGGGGAUUGUGCGCGGGGCCCGGCUCGCAUCGGUUUCGGCGGCCGGAAAAAGGUUCCGGGAACGUAACUCCUUUCGGGGAGCGUUAUAGCCCGGGACGGCAUGCGGCCAGCCGGGACCGAGGUACGCGCUUCGGCUCGGAUGCGGGCGGAAUGGCGGUCAGCGACCCGUCUUGAAACACGGACCAAGGAGUCUAACAUCGGCGCGAGUGUUUGGGUGUCAAGCCCGGGCGCGGAAUGAAAUUGAACGGAGGGGGGAGCCGGGCGGGCGCACCCCCGACCGAUCCGGACGCACGCCGACGGAUUUGAGUAGGAGCGCCGCUGUUGGGACCCGAAAGACGGUGAACUAUGCCUGUAUAGGGUGAAGCCAGCGGAAACGCUGGUGGAGGCUCGCAGCGGUCCUGACGUGCAAAUCGGUCGUCAAAUAUGGGUAUAGGGGCGAAAGACUAAUCGAACCGUCUAGUAGCUGGUUCCUGCCGAAGUUUCCCUCAGGAUAGCAGCCCCGCGUGCAGUUUUAUGAGGUAAAGCGAAUGAUUAGCGGUCCGGGGGGCGCAACGCCCUUCGCCGAUUCUCAAACUUUAAAUAUGUAAGAAGCUCGUGUUACUUAGUUGAACGCGGGCGUCGAAUGCACGGGGCUAGUGGGCCAUUUUUGGU
Molecule: ribosomal RNA, 959 nt
Filed under: Pertusaria panyrga
Lineage: Eukaryota; Fungi; Ascomycota; Lecanoromycetes; Pertusariales; Pertusariaceae
Description: eukaryotic LSU rRNA
Rfam family: Eukaryotic large subunit ribosomal RNA
Source: RNAcentral